This 2054-nucleotide ribosomal RNA is filed under the name human gut metagenome. Its description in RNAcentral is "bacterial LSU rRNA". It matches the Rfam family "Bacterial large subunit ribosomal RNA", at positions 468 to 2611 of the family's 2925-position model. The record is from RNAcentral.
AAAUACUACCCAGUGACCGAUAGCGUAUAGUACUGUGAAGGAAAGGUGAAAAGCACCCCGGGAGGGGAGUGAAAUAGAACCUGAAACCCUGUGCCUACAAGCACCUAGAGCACGUCAAAGUGUGAUAGGGUACUUUUUGUAGAACGGUCCGGCGAGCGAUUGUAUGCAGCAAGGUUAAGGACUUAAGGUCUGGAGCCGAAGCGAAAGCGAGUUUGAAAAGGGCGUUAAGUUGCAUAUAAUGGGCCCGAAACCGGGUGACCUACCCAUGGUCAGGUUGAAGUGGAAGUAAAAUUCCAUGGAGGACCGAACCGACCUCCGUUGAAAAGGCGGCGGAUGAACUGUGGGUAGCGGAGAAAUUCCAAUCGAACCCGGAGAUAGCUGGUUCUCCCCGAAAUAGUUUUAGGACUAGCCUCAAGUUAGAUACCUGGAGGUAAAGCACUGAAUAGCCUAGCGGCCGAGAGGUUAGCGAAGCUUAUCAAACUCAGAAUGCCAGAGUAUUGAUGCUUGGGAGUCAGACAGUGUCAGAUAAAUGUCAUUGUCAAAAGGGAAACAGCCCAGAUCUACAGCUAAGGUCCCAAAGUCAGGUUAAGUGGAAAACGAUGUGAAGAUACGCAGACAACCAGGAUGUUGGCUCAGAAGCAGCCACUCAUUCAAAGAGUGCGUAAUAGCUCACUGGUCGAGCGUCUUUGCGCGGAGAAUUUAACGGGGCUAAACCUGACACCGAAGCUUAGGCAAUGUAGUAAUACAUUGGGUAGGGGAGCGUUGUAUACGCGGAGAAACAGUAGCGUAAGCGGCUGUGGAGUGUAUAGAAGUGAGAAUGCCGGAAUGAGUAGCGCGAAUGCAGUGAGAAUCUGCAUGGCCGAAAGCCUCAGGUUUCUGGAGGAAGGUUCGUCCGCUCCAGGUUAGUCGGGAGCUAAGGUGAGGCCGGAAGGCGUAGCCGAUGCACAGACGGUAGAGAUUCCGUCACCACCAAAAGAGUUAAGCACAGGGACACAUUUGAAGUCUCAGAGCCGGGUGUUGGUUCCGGUAGAGAUCGAGGGAAAUUAGUACCGAAGUCUGAGAUGGAAGAUGGCGAGAAAAGCUGUGUGUAUUUCUGAGGUGCCCGUACCGCAAACCGACACAGGUAGGUAGGAAGAAGAUUCUAAGGCCAACGGGAGAAGGGUUGUUAAGGAACUCGGCAAAUUGACCCCGUAACUUCGGGAGAAGGGGUGCUCCAGAGAUGGAGCCGCAGAGAAUCGGCCCAAGCAACUGUUUACCAAAAACACAGGUUUGUGCUAAAUCGAAAGAUGACGUAUACGAGCUGACGCCUGCCCGGUGCUGGAAGGUUAAGAGGAGAUGUGCAAGCAUUGAAUCGAAGCCCCAGUGAACGGCGGCCGUAACUAUAACGGUCCUAAGGUAGCGAAAUUCCUUGUCAGGUAAGUUCUGACCCGCAUGAAAGGCGUAAUGAUUUGGGCACUGUCUCAACAGCCCGCCCGGCGAAAUUGUAGUACCGGUGAAGAUGCCGGUUACCCGCGACAAGACGGAAAGACCCCAUGGAGCUUUACUGUAGCCUAAUAUUGGGUUUCGAUGUUGCAUGCACAGGAUAGAUGGGACUCUGGGAAACCAAGGCUUUGGCUUUGGCGGAGAGGCCGUUGGGAUACCAUCCUUGCGAUAUUGGAAUUCUAACCUGCGGCUCUGAAUCGAGUCGGGGGACAUUGUUAGGUGGGCAGUUUGACUGGGGCGGUCGCCUCCUAAAGAGUAACGGAGGCGUUCAAAGGUUCGCUCAGCUUGAACGGAAAUCAAGCAAAAGAGUGCAAACGCAGAAGCGAGCCUAACUGCGAGACUGACGGGUCGAGCAGUAACGAAAGUUGGAGUUAGUGAUCCGGUGGUAUGUGAGUGGAAAUGCCAUCGCUCAACGGAUAAAAGUUACCCUGGGGAUAACAGGCUGAUCUCCCCCAAGAGUCCACAUCGACGGGGAGGUUUGGCACCUCGAUGUCGGCUCAUCGCAUCCUGGGGCUGUAUUCGGUCCCAAGGGUUUGGCUGUUCGCCAAUUAAAGCGGUACGCGAGCUGGGUU